This 257-nucleotide ribosomal RNA is filed under the name uncultured bacterium. RNAcentral's name for it is "partial 16S ribosomal RNA". It matches the Rfam family "Bacterial small subunit ribosomal RNA", at positions 99 to 354 of the family's 1533-position model. The record is from RNAcentral.
CGGACGGGUGAGUAACACGUGAGCAACCUGCCCUUCAGAGGGGGAUAACGUUUGGAAACGAACGCUAAUACCGCAUGAAAUAUCCCGAUGGCAUCGUUGGGAUAUCAAAGGAGGAAUCCGCUGAAGGAUGGGCUCGCGGCCGAUUAGAUAGUUGGUGAGGUAACGGCCCACCAAGUCGACGAUCGGUAGCCGGACUGAGAGGUUGAACGGCCACAUUGGGACUGAGACACGGCCCAGACUCCUACGGAAGGCAGCAG